GGGGAGUGAAAUAGAACCUGAAACCGUGUACGUACAAGCAGUAGGAGCAGGCUUUGUCCUGUGACUGCGUACCUUUUGUAUAAUGGGUCAGCGACUUAUAUUCAGUGGCAAGGUUAACCAUCUAGGGGAGCCGUAGGGAAACCGAGUCUUAACUGGGCGUUCAGUCUCUGGAUAUAGACCCGAAACCAGGUGAUCUAGCCAUGGGCAGGUUGAAGGUUGAGUAACAUCAACUGGAGGACCGAACCGACUAAUGUUGAAAAAUUAGCGGAUGACUUGUGGCUAGGGGUGAAAGGCCAAUCAAACCUGGAGAUAGCUGGUUCUCCCCGAAAGCUAUUUAGGUAGCGCCUCGGACGAAUACUACUGGGGGUAGAGCACUGUUAAGGCUAGGGGGUCAUCCCGACUUACCAACCCUUUGCAAACUCCGAAUACCAGUAAGUACUAUCCGGGAGACACACGGCGGGUGCUAACGUCCGUCGUGGAGAGGGAAACAACCCAGACCGCCAGCUAAGGUCCCAAAUUACUACUAAGUGGGAAACGAUGUGGGAAGGCUCAGACAGCCAGGAUGUUGGCUUAGAAGCAGCCAUCAUUUAAAGAAAGCGUAAUAGCUCACUGGUCGAGUCGGCCUGCGCGGAAGAUGUAACGGGGCUAAGUAGUAAACCGAAGCUGCGGCAAUGUGCUUUUGCACAUUGGGUAGGGGAGCGUUCUGUAAGCGGUUGAAGGUGUGUGGUAACGCAUGCUGGACGUAUCAGAAGUGCGAAUGCUGACAUGAGUAACGAUAAAGGGGGUGAAAAACCUCCUCGCCGGAAGACCAAGGGUUCCUGUCCAACGUUAAUCGGGGCAGGGUAAGUCGACCCCUAAGGCGAGGCCGAAAGGCGUAGUCGAUGGGAAACGGGUUAAUAUUCCCGUACUUCUUACAAUUGCGAUGGGGGGACGGAGAAGGCUAGGUGGGCCUGGCGACGGUUGUCCAGGUUCAAGUGCGUAGGCUUAAGAGUUAGGUAAAUCCGGCUCUUUUUAAGGCUGAGACACGACGUCGAGCAUCUACGGAUGUGAAGUCAUUGAUGCCAUGCUUCCAGGAAAAGCCUCUAAGCUUCAGAUUGUAAGGAAUCGUACCCCAAACCGACACAGGUGGUCGGGUAGAGAAUACCAAGGCGCUUGAGAGAACUCGGGUGAAGGAACUAGGCAAAAUGGUACCGUAACUUCGGGAGAAGGUACGCUCUCGACGGUGAAGUCCCUCGCGGAUGGAGCUAUUGAGAGUCGCAGAUACCAGGUGGCUGCAACUGUUUAUUAAAAACACAGCACUGUGCAAAAUCGUAAGAUGACGUAUACGGUGUGACGCCUGCCCGGUGCCGGAAGGUUAAUUGAUGGGGUUAGACUUCGGUCGAAGCUCUUGAUCGAAGCCCCGGUAAACGGCGGCCGUAACUAUAACGGUCCUAAGGUAGCGAAAUUCCUUGUCGGGUAAGUUCCGACCUGCACGAAUGGCGUAAUGAUGGCCACGCUGUCUCCACCCGAGACUCAGUGAAAUUGAAAUCGCUGUGAAGAUGCAGUGUACCCGCGGCUAGACGGAAAGACCCCGUGAACCUUUACUACAGCUUGGCACUGAACAUUGACCCUACAUGUGUAGGAUAGGUGGGAGGCUUUGAAGCACGUACGCCAGUAUGUGUGGAGCCGUCCUUGAAAUACCACCCUUGUAGUGUUGAUGUUCUAACGUCGACCCCUUAUCGGGGUUGCGGACAGUGCCUGGUGGGUAGUUUGACUGGGGCGGUCUCCUCCCAAAGAGUAACGGAGGAGCACGAAGGUGGGCUAAUCACGGUUGGACAUCGUGAGGUUAGUGCAAUGGCAUAAGCCCGCUUGACUGCGAGAAUGACAAUUCGAGCAGGUGCGAAAGCAGGUCAUAGUGAUCCGGUGGUUCUGAAUGGAAGGGCCAUCGCUCAACGGAUAAAAGGUACUCCGGGGAUAACAGGCUGAUACCGCCCAAGAGUUCAUAUCGACGGCGGUGUUUGGCACCUCGAUGUCGGCUCAUCACAUCCUGGGGCUGAAGUCGGUCCCAAGGGUAUGGCUGUUCGCCAUUUAAAGUGGUACGCGAGCUGGGUUUAGAACGUCGUGAGACAGUUCGGUCCCUAUCUGCCGUGGGCGUUGGAAGAUUGAAGGGGGCUGCUCCUAGUACGAGAGGACCGGAGUGGACGAACCUCUGGUGUUCGGGUUGUGUCGCCAGACGCAUUGCCCGGUAGCUAAGUUCGGAAUCGAUAACCGCUGAAAGCAUCUAAGCGGGAAGCGAGCCCUGAGAUGAGUCUUCCCUGAUACUUUAAGUAUCCUAAAGGGUUGUCGGAGACUACGACGUUGAUAGGUCAGGUGUGUAAGUGCUGUGAGGCAUUGAGCUAACUGAUACUAAUUGCCCGUGAGGCUUAACCAUACAACACCUAAGGGGUUU
Molecule: ribosomal RNA, 2428 nt
Filed under: Vibrio parahaemolyticus
Lineage: Bacteria; Pseudomonadati; Pseudomonadota; Gammaproteobacteria; Vibrionales; Vibrionaceae
Description: bacterial LSU rRNA
Rfam family: Bacterial large subunit ribosomal RNA
Source: RNAcentral